This is a long non-coding RNA of Xenopus laevis (African clawed frog), 571 nucleotides long. RefSeq lists it as uncharacterized. The record is from RefSeq and is a predicted model, not a curated record. The transcript is spliced from 2 exons. NCBI's taxonomy places the organism in Eukaryota, Metazoa, Chordata, Amphibia, Anura, Pipidae.
GCUCCGGCAGCGCGUGGAGGAUUGGUGUAUCACAGUGUGUCAGGUGCUGGGGUGCGCUUCCUGAGCGAUCAGAUGCGGAUGUCCCUUUCUUUCCAUGACAGUGGAGGUUGCUGCAUGAAGGGAUAGAACGGUAUUGAAGGGCGCGGUGGGGCUGUGACUGCGAGCUGGGGUCAUCACAAAAGGCAGCUGAAGGCCGGGGACGAGCCAGUGUACAUAAGCGUCAGACUGGGACGACAGAGAGCAGAGGGGUCGAUUUCCUGUUUUUAGGAAGUGACAAGAGGAUCUCUCCCUGGCAUUCCCAAGGCGGAAUAUUUUAGAGCUUCAUUCUGCAACAGCCUUUUGUUCCUGCAUUCUCAUUACAGCUGAUUCCUCUGUGUCCCCUUCUCCUGCCACGCUCCCUCUCUCCUCUCAGGCCUCCAGCUUAUACAACAAGAUGCAGAUGCCAGCCCAAAUCAAAGAAUACACCAAUUUCCUUAUUUUUUGUUUUGUUUUGUUUGUUUGCUCCUGGAUUUUCAGAACUGUGAAGUUACAAUUAAAAUGAUAAAUAAAAUAUUCUACUACAGCCCACCCA